This 1090-nucleotide long non-coding RNA is filed under the name Homo sapiens (human). Its description in RNAcentral is "PREDICTED lncRNA (TCONS_00006812)". Lineage: Eukaryota; Metazoa; Chordata; Mammalia; Primates; Hominidae. The record is from RNAcentral.
GCUUCCCAGGCCUGGCCAGCAAGAGCACAAACAGGGAGCCAUGGAGGACUGUUGUUGCCGAAUACAGACGGGGUUUCACCGUGUUAGCCAGGAUGGUCUUGAUCUCCUGACCUCGUGAUCCACCCGCCUCAGCCUCCCAAAGUGUUGGGAUUACAGGUGUGAGCCACCGCACCCGGCUACCUGUCUCCUCAUUCUUAAAAGGUAAAGUUUCGAUGUAGCUGGAAGGGGUGUGAGGGGCAUUGUCAAGUCGCUCCUGUAAAGCUGCCAAAACUCCAGGAUUCUGCAUCACCUGAUCCGUGAGCUUUUCCGUCUUACUUGCAUUUUUAGCAGCUUCCACGAAAUCUGAAGGAACCCCAUCUGAAAAACUGUUAUCUGCCAUCUGAAUGUUUUUAUCCCCUUGUCUGGUAAACCAAGUCCCGUGAGUAACUAGGCUAAGGCACUCAGGCCAGUCCUCGGGGAGCACACGCCGCCCAUCUGGCUCGCACCGCACAGCUCCCAACAGCUGAGAUGCAAUGCCAAGGACUUUCUUCCCCAUCAGACAUGCCCUCGUCCACACGAAACUUACAAUCAAAACCCCAGUUAGCCCAGCCUGACCCCACAGAUGCUCACGAUGACCAUCGCCCUACGGAAAAACUCAAAUUCCUAAACAUCUAAUAAAGAGGUCCUGGACGUCUCCACCUUAAAAACGGGAAGCCUGAAUGCUCCUCCGGGUGCGCCGCGGCCCUCCGGGUACGCGGGGCUGGCUGGGCUAGCGGGAGAUUUGAGCUGCCAGCCCCCACUCGCCGCCCUCUACGCCUCCUCCGCUGGGCCGCCGGCGAGGAAGCCGCCCGCAGCGCAGAACAAAGCGACUUGACCUUCAGGGCAGUGGGCGGCAGGGCAGGGGCGCACCGGGUGCUGGGAGGGGCCGCUCCAGGCCCCAAGCCCCAGGCCCGCCGCGGCGGCGCUGCCCACCCUGACGAGGACGUCUACUUUUUCUUGAAAAAUGUCUUUCCUUUCCCAAAAGUGACUCUGCUUUGUCUGAAAAUAAUAUAACUUUAAUGGCUUUAAGUUAUUGUUUGAAAGGGUUCAGAAAAGACAAUAAAUGGGAGAC